GAUGAACGCUGGCGGCGUGCCUAAUACAUGCAAGUCGAGCGAACAGACGAGGAGCUUGCUCCUCUAACGUUAGCGGCGGACGGGUGAGUAACACGUGGAUAACCUACCUAUAAGACUGGGAUAACUUCGGGAAACCGGAGCUAAUACCGGAUAAUAUAUUGAACCGCAUGGUUCAAUAGUGAAAGACGGUUUUGCUGUCACUUAUAGAUGGUUCCGCGCCGCAUUAGCUAGUUGGUAAGGUAACAGCUUACCAAGGCAACGAUGCGUAGCCGACCUGAGAGGGUGAUCGGCCACACUGGAACUGAGACACGGUCCAGACUCCUACGGGAGGCAGCAGUAGGGAAUCUUCCGCAAUGGGCGAAAGCCUGACGGAGCAACGCCGCGUGAGUGAUGAAGGUCUUCGGAUCGUAAAACUCUGUUAUUAGGGAAGAACAAAUGUGUAAGUAACUAUGCACGUCUUGACGGUACCUAAUCAGAAAGCCACGGCUAACUACGUG
This 497-nucleotide ribosomal RNA is filed under the name uncultured bacterium. RNAcentral describes it as "partial 16S ribosomal RNA". It matches the Rfam family "Bacterial small subunit ribosomal RNA", at positions 28 to 507 of the family's 1533-position model. The record is from RNAcentral.